CCCACAGUCGAGAGACCGGCAUCGCUGGAGUGGUGGUUCGUCUGUUUCCUCUGGAUAUAUACAUCAAGUAUUGAGAAGAAAGAAUAUCAAGAGCUAAAUGUUCUUUUUAAACGGGUAGUUGCUGCUCAGAAAAUAAAGAUGCAGACCCAGAGUCAGUGGUUUAUACGUUCUUCAUGCAAGAGCAUUAUACUGAAGGAGAGAGUCUUUUCUUUUUGUCAGAAGCUGUGUUGAUCAGUGACUGUGGUGAAGGCUGAGAAAGUUGAAGCAAAUUUGCAGGUGAUACAAACUUCUAAGGUAAGCUAACAUACUGGAUUGGCCAAAAAGUUCAUUUGGGUUUCUCCAUAUCAUCUAUAAUAACUCAGUCAAGAUUAUA
Molecule: long non-coding RNA, 373 nt
Filed under: Moschus moschiferus (Siberian musk deer)
Lineage: Eukaryota; Metazoa; Chordata; Mammalia; Artiodactyla; Moschidae
Description: lncRNA (ENSMMSG00000014070.1)
Source: RNAcentral